This 197-nucleotide ribosomal RNA is filed under the name uncultured bacterium. RNAcentral describes it as "partial 16S ribosomal RNA". It matches the Rfam family "Bacterial small subunit ribosomal RNA", at positions 328 to 539 of the family's 1533-position model. The record is from RNAcentral.
ACGCUCGACACCUACGGAGGCAGCAGUGGGGAAUAUUGCACAAUGGGGGAAACCCUGAUGCAGCGACGCCGCGUGAAGGAAGAAGUAUUUCGGUAUGUAAACUUCUAUCAGCAGGGAAGAAACUGACGGUACCUGACUAAGAAGCACCGGCUAAAUACGUGCCAGCAGCCGCGGUAAUCUGAGCGGGNUGGCAAGGC